RNAcentral lists this ribosomal RNA (574 nucleotides) under Bacillus sp. AmSamHD7. RNAcentral's name for it is "bacterial SSU rRNA". It matches the Rfam family "Bacterial small subunit ribosomal RNA", at positions 85 to 644 of the family's 1533-position model. The record is from RNAcentral. Lineage: Bacteria; Bacillati; Bacillota; Bacilli; Caryophanales; Bacillaceae.
UCCGGAGUUAGCGGCGGACGGGUGAGUAACACGUAGGUAACCUGCCCCUUAGACUGGGAUAACUCCGGGAAACCGGAGCUAAUACGGGAUAAUAAAGAGAAUCGCCUGAUUUUCUUUUGAAAGACGGCGUCUAGCUGUCACUAAGGGAUGGACCUGCGGCGCAUUAGCUAGUUGGUAAGGUAACGGCUUACCAAGGCGACGAUGCGUAGCCGACCUGAGAGGGUGAUCGGCCACACUGGGACUGAGACACGGCCCAGACUCCUACGGGAGGCAGCAGUAGGGAAUCUUCCGCAAUGGACGAAAGUCUGACGGAGCAACGCCGCGUGAGUGAGGAAGGCCUUCGGGUCGUAAAGCUCUGUUGUGAGGGAAGAACAAGUGCCGGCGUAACUACCGGCACCUUGACGGUACCUCACCAGAAAGCCACGGCUAACUACGUGCCAGCAGCCGCGGUAAUACGUAGGUGGCAAGCGUUGUCCGGAAUUAUUGGGCGUAAAGCGCGCGCAGGCGGCUUCUUAAGUCUGAUGUGAAAUCUCGGGGCUCAACCCCGAGCGGCCAUUGGAAACUGGGGAGCUUG